Molecule: long non-coding RNA, 296 nt
Filed under: Oryza sativa (Asian cultivated rice)
Lineage: Eukaryota; Viridiplantae; Streptophyta; Magnoliopsida; Poales; Poaceae
Description: long non-coding RNA (OSAT_LNC001598)
Source: RNAcentral
GGGGAAGUAAACCUGUUUUUAUUUUCUUGGAAACGAGUACCCUCUUCCUCCGUGUGAAGAAAAGGAAGAAAUAAAUCAAUCAAAUUACGAGAAGCCUCAUAAAGCGCUUCCUUAGGGGUUAAACUUCCAUUGGUCCAUAUUUCUAGAAAAAGUAUCUCAUAUUUUGCAUUUCCAUUCCCACAAGCAAAAAUACUAUAAUUCACAUUUCAUUCCCACAAGCAAAAAUACUAUAAUUCACAUUUCGAACAGGCAUGGAUACAGCAUCUAUAGGAUAACUUCCAUCUUGAGUGUUCUUU